AGUCUGAGCUCACUGAUUAGAAGCUUGCUUCUAUGACGUUAGCGGCGCGAUGGGGUGAGUAACACGUGGGCAACCUGCCUGUAAGACUGGGAUAACUUCGGGAAACCGAAGCUAAUACCGGAUAGGAUCUUCUCCUUCAUGGGAGAUGAUUGAAAGAUGGUUUCGGCUAUCACUUACAGAUGGGCCCGCGGUGCAUUAGCUAGUUGGUGAGGUAACGGCUCACCAAGGCAACGAUGCAUAGCCGACCUGAGAGGGUGAUCGGCCACACUGGGACUGAGACACGGCCCAGACUCCUACGGGAGGCAGCAGUAGGGAAUCUUCCGCAAUGGACGAAAGUCUGACGGAGCAACGCCGCGUGAGUGAUGAAGGCUUUCGGGUCGUAAAACUCUGUUGUUAGGGAAGAACAAGUACGAGAGUAACUGCUCGUACCUUGACGGUACCUAACCAGAAAGCCACGGCUAACUACGUGCCAGCAGCCGCGGUAAUACGUAGGUGGCAAGCGUUAUCCGGAAUUAUUGGGCGUAAAGCGCGCGCAGGCGGUUUUCUUAAGUUCUGAUGUGAAAGCCCCACGGCUUCAACCGUGGAAGGGUCAUUUGGAAAACUGGGGGAACUUUGAGUGCAGGAAGAGAAAAGGCGGAAUUUCCCACGUGGUAGCGGGUGAAAAUGCCGUAAGAGGAUUGUGGAAGGAAACACCCAGGUGGCCGAAAGGCCGGC
RNAcentral lists this ribosomal RNA (714 nucleotides) under uncultured Bacillus sp. Its description in RNAcentral is "bacterial SSU rRNA". It matches the Rfam family "Bacterial small subunit ribosomal RNA", at positions 60 to 726 of the family's 1533-position model. The record is from RNAcentral. Lineage: Bacteria; Bacillati; Bacillota; Bacilli; Caryophanales; Bacillaceae.